UCCUACGGGAGGCAGCAGUGAGGAAUAUUGGACAAUGGGCGGAAGCCUGAUCCAGCCAUGCCGCGUGCAGGAAGAAGGUUCUAUGGAUUGUAAACUGCUUUUGUAUGGGGGCAAUAAGAUCUACGUGUAGAUUGAUGAGAGUACUAUACGAAUAAGCAUCGGCUAACUCCGUGCCAGCAGCCGCGGUAAUACGGAGGAUGCGAGCGUUAUCCGGAUUUAUUGGGUUUAAAGGGUGCGUAGGCGGCUAUGUAAGUCAGCGGUGAAAAGUUGCAGCUUAACUGUAACCGUGCCGUUGAUACUGUGUAGCUAGAAAGUAGAUGAAGUGAUCGGAAUGUGUGGUGUAGCGGUGAAAUGCAUAGAUAUCACACAGAAUAUCGAUAGCGAAGGCAGGUCACUAAGGUAUAUUUGACGCUGAUGCACGAAAGUGUGGGGAUCAAACAGGAUUAGAUACCCUGGUAGUCCACACUGUAAACGAUGAUAACUAGUUGUCGGCGAUAGACAGUCGGUGACCAAGCGAAAGCGAUAAGUUAUCCACCUGGGGAGUACGACCGCAAGGUUGAAACUCAAAGGAAUUGACGGGGGCCCGCACAAGCGGAGGAACAUGUGGUUUAAUUCGAUGAUACGCGAGGAACCUUACCCGGGCUCGAACGGUGCAGGAAUACAUCAGAGAUGGUGUAGCUAGUAAUAGUCUGUAUCGAGGUGCUGCAUGGUUGUCGUCAGCUCGUGCCGUGAGGUGUCGGCUUAAGUGCCAUAACGAGCGCAACCCUUGUUGUUAGUUGCCAUCGGGUAAAGCCGGGGACUCUAACGAGACUGCCAGCGUAAGCUGUGAGGAAGGGGGGGAUGACGUCAAAUCAGCACGGCCCUUACGUCCGGGGCGACACACGUGUUACAAUGGGAGGUACAGAGGGCAGCUACCUGGUGACAGGAUGCCAAUCUCGAAAGCCUUUCUCAGUUCGGAUCGGAGUCUGCAACUCGACUCCGUGAAGUUGGAUUCGCUAGUAAUCGCGCAUCAGCCAUGGCGCGGUGAAUACGUUCCCGGGCCUUGUACACACCGCCCGUCAAGCCAUGGAAGCUGGGGGUGCCUAAAGUUCGUAACCGCAAGGAGCGACCUAGGGCAAAACCGGUAACUAGGGCUAAGUCGUAACAAGGUAGCCGUACCGGAAGGUGUGGCUG
This 1173-nucleotide ribosomal RNA is filed under the name termite gut metagenome. RNAcentral's name for it is "bacterial SSU rRNA". It matches the Rfam family "Bacterial small subunit ribosomal RNA", at positions 337 to 1520 of the family's 1533-position model. The record is from RNAcentral.